Molecule: ribosomal RNA, 252 nt
Filed under: uncultured bacterium
Lineage: Bacteria
Description: partial 16S ribosomal RNA
Rfam family: Bacterial small subunit ribosomal RNA
Source: RNAcentral
UACGGGGGGGGCAAGCGUUGUUCGGAAUUACUGGGCGUAAAGGGCUCGUAGGCGGCCAACUAAGUCAGACGUGAAAUCCCUCGGCUCAACCGGGAACUGCGUCUGAUACUGGAUGGCUUGAAUCCGGAAGAGGGAUGCGGAAUUCCAGGUGUAGCGGUGAAAUGCGUAGAUAUCUGGAGGAACACCGGUGGCGAAGGCGGCAUCCUGGGUCGGAAUUGACGCUGAGGAGCGAAAGCCAGGGGAGCAAACGGG